UUCCCUCCGAAGUUUCCCUCAGGAUAGCUGGCACUCGCUCGUUUCUACGUUGAACGCAUGCGAGUCUCGUCUGGUAAAGCGAAUGAUUAGAGGCCUUGGGGUCGAAACGACCUCAACCUAUUCUCAAACUUUAAAUGGGUGAGAUCUCUGGCUUGCUUGAAUAUCAUAUGAAGCCACGAGAUUUUGGAUCAGAGUGCCAAGUGGGCCAAUUUUCGUAAGCAGAACUGGCGCUGUGGGAUAAACUAAACGCAGAGUUAAGGCGCCUAAGUCGACGCUUAUGGGAUACCAUGAAAGGUGUUGGUUGCUUAAGACAGCAAGACGGUGGCCAUGGAAGUCGGAAUCCGCUAAGGAGUGUGUAACAACUCACCUGCCGGAGCAACUAGCCCUGAAAAUGGAUCGCGCUGAAGCGUCGCGCCUAUACACCGCCGUCAGCGGCAAGUGAGGAGAGACGUGUCAUCCUCGGAUGCUCGCCCUCCAUGAAGUCCUGACGAGUAGGAUGGUCGCGGCGGUGUGCGCAGAAGGGUCUGGGCGUGAGCCUGCCUGGAGCCGCUGUCGGUG
RNAcentral lists this non-coding RNA (558 nucleotides) under Dufourea novaeangliae. RNAcentral's name for it is "Eukaryotic large subunit ribosomal RNA". It matches the Rfam family "Eukaryotic large subunit ribosomal RNA", at positions 955 to 1444 of the family's 3401-position model. The record is from Rfam by way of RNAcentral. Lineage: Eukaryota; Metazoa; Arthropoda; Insecta; Hymenoptera; Halictidae.